UACGUAGGGUGCGAGCGUUAAUCGGAUUUACUGGGCGUAAAGCGUGCGCAGGCGGCCCGUUAAGACAGGUGUGAAAUCCCUGGGCUCAACCUAGGAAUUGCGCUUGUGACUGGCGGGCUCGAGUACGGUAGAGGGGGGUGGAAUUCCUGGUGUAGCAGUGAAAUGCGAAGAGAUCAGGAGGAACACCGAUGGCGAAGGCAGCCCCCUGGGCCUGUACUGACGCUCAUGCACGAAAGCGUGGGGAGCAAACAGG
RNAcentral lists this ribosomal RNA (253 nucleotides) under uncultured microorganism. Its description in RNAcentral is "partial 16S ribosomal RNA". It matches the Rfam family "Bacterial small subunit ribosomal RNA", at positions 524 to 776 of the family's 1533-position model. The record is from RNAcentral.